CCCUUAGAUGUCCUGGGCCGCACGCGCGUUACACCGAUGCAUUCAACGAGCUUAUAACCUUGGCCGAGAGGCCUGGGCAAUCUUGUUAACGUGCAUCGUGAUAGGGAUAGAUUAUUGAAAUUAUUAAUCUUGAACGAGGAAUUCCUAGUAAACGCAGAUCAUCAAUCUGCAUUGAUUACGUCCCUGCCCUUUGUACACACCGCCCGUCGCACCUACCGAUUGGAUGGUCCGGUGAAGCCUCGGGAUUGUGGUUCUUGCCGCUUUAUUGUGGCGUGACCGCGAGAACUUGUCUAAACCUUAUCGUCUAGAGGAAGGUGAAGUCGUAACA
RNAcentral lists this ribosomal RNA (328 nucleotides) under uncultured eukaryote. RNAcentral describes it as "partial 18S ribosomal RNA". It matches the Rfam family "Eukaryotic small subunit ribosomal RNA", at positions 1470 to 1796 of the family's 1831-position model. The record is from RNAcentral.